ACUACGGGUGGCAGCAGUGAGGAAUAUUGGUCAAUGGGCGGAAGCCUGAACCAGCCAAGUAGCGUGCAGGAUAACGGCCCUACGGGUUGUAAACUGCUUUUAUACGGGAAUAACGCGCCUUACGUGUAGGGCUUUGCAUGUACCGUAUGAAUAAGGACCGGCUAAUUCCGUGCCAGCAGCCGCGGUAAUACGGAGGGUCCGGGCGUUAUCCGGAUUUAUUGGGUUUAAAGGGAGCGUAGGCCGCAUGUCAAGCGUGCUGUGAAAUGUCCGGGCUCAAGCCGGGCAUUGCAGCGUGAACUGGCGUGCUUGAGUCCGCGGAAGGCAGGCGGAAUUCGUCGUGUAGCGGUGAAAUGCUUAGAUAUGACGAAGAACCCCGAUUGCGAAGGCAUCUUGCUGCAGCGGAACUGACGCUGAUGCUCGAAAGCGCGGGUAUCGAACAGGAUUAGAUACCCCUGUAGUC
RNAcentral lists this ribosomal RNA (460 nucleotides) under uncultured bacterium. RNAcentral describes it as "partial 16S ribosomal RNA". It matches the Rfam family "Bacterial small subunit ribosomal RNA", at positions 338 to 795 of the family's 1533-position model. The record is from RNAcentral.